This 72-nucleotide transfer RNA is filed under the name Candidatus Tremblayella princeps. RNAcentral's name for it is "Candidatus Tremblaya princeps tRNA". It matches the Rfam family "tRNA". Rfam says of the family: Transfer RNA (tRNA) molecules are approximately 80 nucleotides in length. Their secondary structure includes four short double-helical elements and three loops (D, anti-codon, and T loops). Lineage: Bacteria; Pseudomonadati; Pseudomonadota; Betaproteobacteria. The record is from Rfam by way of RNAcentral.
GGGUAAUUAGCUCAGCGGUAGAGCGCUACCACGACAGGGUAGCGGCCGUUGGUUCGACCCCAACAUUACCCA